RNAcentral lists this ribosomal RNA (468 nucleotides) under uncultured bacterium. RNAcentral's name for it is "partial 16S ribosomal RNA". It matches the Rfam family "Bacterial small subunit ribosomal RNA", at positions 28 to 507 of the family's 1533-position model. The record is from RNAcentral.
GACGAACGCUGGCGGCGUGCUUAACACAUGCAAGUCGAACGGAAAGGCCCUGCUUUUGUGGGGUGCUCGAGUGGCGAACGGGUGAGUAACACGUGAGUAACCUGCCCUUGACUUUGGGAUAACUUCAGGAAACUGGGGCUAAUACCGGAUAGGAGCUCCUGCUGCAUGGUGGGGGUUGGAAAGUUUGGGCGGUUGGGGAUGGACUCGCGGCUUAUCAGCUUGUUGGUGGGGUAGUGGCUUACCAAGGCUUUGACGGGUAGCCGGCCUGGGAGGGUGACCGGCCACAUUGGGACUGAGGUACGGCCCAGACUCCUACAGGAGGCAGCAGUGGGGAACAUUGCACAAUGGGCGGAAGCCUGAUGCAGCAACGCCGCGUGCGGGAUGACGGCCUUCGGGUUGUAAACCGCUUUCGCCUGUGACGAAGCGUGAGUGACGGUAAUGGGUAAAGAAGCACCGGCUAACUACGUG